UACGGAGGGUGCAAGCGUUAUCCGGAUUUACUGGGUUUAAAGGGUGUGUAGGCGGACUUUUAAGUCAGCGGUGAAAUCUCCGGGCUCAACCCGGAAACUGCCAUUGAUACUAUUGGUCUUGAAUGUUGUGGAGGUGGGCGGAACGGGUCAUGUAGCGGUGAAAUGCUUAGAGAUGACCCGGAACACCGAUUGCGAAGGCAGCUGGCUACACAUAUACUGACACUGAGGCACGAAAGCGUGGGGAUCAAACAGG
Molecule: ribosomal RNA, 253 nt
Filed under: uncultured bacterium
Lineage: Bacteria
Description: partial 16S ribosomal RNA
Rfam family: Bacterial small subunit ribosomal RNA
Source: RNAcentral